Molecule: transfer RNA, 76 nt
Filed under: Candidatus Acetothermia bacterium
Lineage: Bacteria; Candidatus Bipolaricaulota
Also listed under: 1 other name
Description: tRNA-Ala
Rfam family: tRNA
About the family: Transfer RNA (tRNA) molecules are approximately 80 nucleotides in length. Their secondary structure includes four short double-helical elements and three loops (D, anti-codon, and T loops). Further hydrogen bonds mediate the characteristic L-shaped molecular structure. tRNAs have two regions of fundamental functional importance: the anti-codon, which is responsible for specific mRNA codon recognition, and the 3' end, to which the tRNAs corresponding amino acid is attached (by aminoacyl-tRNA synthetases). tRNAs cope with the degeneracy of the genetic code in two manners: having more than one tRNA (with a specific anti-codon) for a particular amino acid; and 'wobble' base-pairing, i.e. permitting non-standard base-pairing at the 3rd anti-codon position.
Source: RNAcentral
GGGGGUGUAGCUCUAACGGGAGAGCGCCCGCCUUGCACGCGGGAGGAUGGCGGUUCGAAUCCGCUCGCCUCCACCA